GACGAACGCUGGCGGCGUGCUUAACACAUGCAAGUCGAACGGAAAGGCCCUUCGGGGUACUCGAGUGGCGAACGGGUGAGUAACACGUGGGUGAUCUGCCCUGCACUCUGGGAUAAGCCUGGGAAACUGGGUCUAAUACCGGAUAUGAUCAUGCGCCUCAUGGUGUGUGGUGGAAAGCUUUUGCGGUGUGGGAUGGGCCCGCGGCCUAUCAGCUUGUUGGUGGGGUAAUGGCCUACCAAGGCGACGACGGGUAGCCGGCCUGAGAGGGUGACCGGCCACACUGGGACUGAGAUACGGCCCAGACUCCUACGGGAGGCAGCAGUGGGGAAUAUUGCACAAUGGGCGCAAGCCUGAUGCAGCGACGCCGCGUGGGGGAUGACGGCCUUCGGGUUGUAAACCUCUUUCAGUACCGACGAAGCGCAAGUGACGGUAGGUACAGAAGAAGCACCGGCCAACUACGUG
This 462-nucleotide ribosomal RNA is filed under the name uncultured organism. RNAcentral describes it as "bacterial SSU rRNA". It matches the Rfam family "Bacterial small subunit ribosomal RNA", at positions 28 to 507 of the family's 1533-position model. The record is from RNAcentral.